UAUCUCUGUAGAGUCUGCAUAUCAAUAAGCGGAGGAAAAGAAACUAACUAGGAUUCCCUCAGUAACGGCGAGUGAAGCGGGAAGAGCUCAAAUUUGAAAUCUUCAAGGUUUUACCUUGACGGAUUGUAGUUUAAAGAAGUGUUUUCUGUUGAAGUUUUGGUAAAAGUUCUUUGGAAUAGGACAUCAUAGAGGGUGAGAAUCCCGUAUUUGACCAGCUAUUUCCAGCUGUGUGAUACACUUUCAAAGAGUCGGAUUGUUUGGGAAUGCAGUCCAAAAUGGGUGGUAAAUUUCAUCUAAAGCUAAAUAUUGGCGAGAGACCGAUAGCGAACAAGUACCGUGAGGGAAAGAUGAAAAGAACUUUGAAAAGAGAGUUAAACAGUACGUGAAAUUGUCAAAAGGGAAGCGUUUGACACCAGUGUUGUUUCUACGAAAAUCAAUUUAUGAUGGCUUGAUGCUAAGCUUUAAGACUUUAUCCGCUUGUUGUUUAGUUUUCUUGUCCUUGUGAAUGCACUUUUCGUGGAACAAGUCAACAUCAAUUUCUUUUGCUGUAAAAGGGUAAGAGGAAGGUGGCUUCGGCUUCGGUUGAAGUGUUUAUAGCCUUUUAUCUCUGCAGUCGGAGAGAUUGAGGUCUGCAGCGUAGACUCUUCGGGGUUAGAUACGUCGGUGCUAAGCUAUAGCUUUUCAUAGACAACUUGUUGACUAUGUUUAGUCAUGUGGCUUACCCGCUGGCGCUAUUUUACCUACGCUUAGGAUGUUGAGUCAUCACACAUCUCU
This 774-nucleotide ribosomal RNA is filed under the name uncultured Neocallimastigales. RNAcentral's name for it is "partial large subunit ribosomal RNA". It matches the Rfam family "Eukaryotic large subunit ribosomal RNA", at positions 24 to 618 of the family's 3401-position model. Lineage: Eukaryota; Fungi; Neocallimastigomycota; Neocallimastigomycetes; Neocallimastigales. The record is from RNAcentral.